GACGAACGCUGGCGGCGUGCUUAACACAUGCAAGUCGAACGGAAAGGCCCUGCUUUUGUGGGGUGCUCGAGUGGCGAACGGGUGAGUAACACGUGAGUAACCUGCCCUUGACUUUGGGAUAACUUCAGGAAACUGGGGCUAAUACCGGAUAGGAGCUCCUGCUGCAUGGUGGGGGUUGGAAAGUUUCGGCGGUUGGGGAUGGACUCGCGGCUUAUCAGCUUGUUGGUGGGGUAGUGGCUUACCAGGGCUUUGACGGGUAGCCGGCCUGAGAGGGUGACCGGCCACAUUGGGACUGAGAUACGGCCCAGACUCCUACGGGAGGCAGCAGUGGGGAAUAUUGCACAAUAGGCGGAAGCCUGAUGCAGCAACGCCGCGUGCGGGAUGACGGCCUUCGGGUUGUAAACCGCUUUCGCCUGUGACGAAGCGUGAGUGACGGUAAUGGGUAAAGAAGCACCGGCUAACUACGUG
This 468-nucleotide ribosomal RNA is filed under the name uncultured bacterium. RNAcentral's name for it is "partial 16S ribosomal RNA". It matches the Rfam family "Bacterial small subunit ribosomal RNA", at positions 28 to 507 of the family's 1533-position model. The record is from RNAcentral.